UACGUAGGUGGCAAGCGUUGUCCGGAUUUACUGGGCGUAAAGAGCGCGCAGGCGGUCGUUCAAGUCGCGUGUGUAAGCCCCCGGCUCAACUGGGGAGGGUCACGCGAUACUGAUCGACUCGAAGGCAGGAGAGGGAAGUGGAAUUCCCGGUGUAGUGGUGAAAUGCGUAGAUAUCGGGAGGAACACCAGUGGCGAAGGCGACUUCCUGGCCUGUUCUUGACGCUGAGGCGCGAAAGCUAGGGGAGCAAACGGG
Molecule: ribosomal RNA, 253 nt
Filed under: uncultured bacterium
Lineage: Bacteria
Description: partial 16S ribosomal RNA
Rfam family: Bacterial small subunit ribosomal RNA
Source: RNAcentral